AUCUGAAUUUGGGGAGAACAUAAGUCCAUGACACAUGUGUACAAAACUUUCAUUGUGAUAUUAGUGUCAUAAUAAUAAUAUAUAACAACAUACAACAGAGCAACCAACAAGCUUAACACCUGAGAAAAGAUAGGUGCCUCCCAGAAGUAACAAACAUGAGUACUUGAUUACCUAGGGCACACAUAGCACAGACCAAGAUAUAAUCGCCUUGAAAGUGGAUGAAAAGAAUGCAGCUGAAACAUUUAUCAAAUUAUUGGAGGCCAAAUGUGAACACUAGUGAAGAUCAACUGUGGUUGGAGAAAUGAAGAACAGCAAAACUCUAACCCCGGGACAAGUACAAGAUUACUGAGAAA
Molecule: long non-coding RNA, 353 nt
Filed under: Homo sapiens (human)
Lineage: Eukaryota; Metazoa; Chordata; Mammalia; Primates; Hominidae
Description: non-protein coding LINC02546:11
Source: RNAcentral